UACAGAGGGGGCAAGCGUUGUUCGGAAUUACUGGGCGUAAAGGGCGCGUAGGCGGCCUUCUAAGUCGAACGUGAAAUCCCUGGGCUCAACCCAGGAACUGCGUCCGAUACUGGAAGGCUUGAAUCCGGGAGAGGGAUGCGGAAUUCCAGGUGUAGCGGUGAAAUGCGUAGAUAUCUGGAGGAACACCGGUGGCGAAGGCGGCAUCCUGGACCGGUAUUGACGCUGAGGCGCGAAAGCCAGGGGAGCGAACGGG
This 253-nucleotide ribosomal RNA is filed under the name uncultured bacterium. RNAcentral's name for it is "partial 16S ribosomal RNA". It matches the Rfam family "Bacterial small subunit ribosomal RNA", at positions 524 to 776 of the family's 1533-position model. The record is from RNAcentral.